This 72-nucleotide transfer RNA is filed under the name Bos taurus (domestic cattle). It matches the Rfam family "tRNA". Rfam says of the family: Transfer RNA (tRNA) molecules are approximately 80 nucleotides in length. Their secondary structure includes four short double-helical elements and three loops (D, anti-codon, and T loops). The record is from Rfam by way of RNAcentral. RNAcentral also lists the same sequence under 5 other names. Lineage: Eukaryota; Metazoa; Chordata; Mammalia; Artiodactyla; Bovidae.
CCCCUGGUGGCUCAGAUGAUAAAGAAUCUGCCUGCAAUGCAGGAGACCCAGGUUCGAGUCCUGGGUUGGGAA